RNAcentral lists this ribosomal RNA (259 nucleotides) under uncultured bacterium. RNAcentral describes it as "partial 16S ribosomal RNA". It matches the Rfam family "Bacterial small subunit ribosomal RNA", at positions 524 to 776 of the family's 1533-position model. The record is from RNAcentral.
UACGUAGGCAGCAAGCGUUGUUCGGAGUUACUGGGCGUAAAGGGUGCGUAGGCGGUUGUUUAAGUUUUGGUGUGAAAUCUCCCGGCUCAACUGGGAGGGUGCGCCGAAUACUGAAUGACUAGAGGUGCGGGAGAGGAGAGUGGAAUUCCUGGUGUAAGCGGUGAAAUGCGUAGAUAUCAAGGAGGAACACCGGUGGUGUGAGACGGCUCUCGUGGACCGUAACUGACGCUGAGGCACGAAAGCGUGGGUAGCAAACAGG